AAUCGUGACUCGGGUUACCGCGGCUGCUGGCACGGAGUUAGCCGGUGCUUCUUCUGUGAGUGAUGUCCUUCCUGCCGGCUAUUAACCCGCAGGCCUUCUUCCUCACUGAAAGUGCUUUACAACCCGAAGGCCUUCUUCACACACGCGGCAUGGCUGGAUCAGGGUUGCCCCCAUUGUCCAAUAUUCCCCACUGCUGCCUCCCGUAGGAGUCUGGGCCGUGUCUCAGUCCCAGUGUGGCUGAUCAUCCUCUCAGACCAGCUACGGAUCGUCGCCUUGGUGAGCCGUUACCUCACCAACCAGCUAAUCCGACAUAGGCUCAUCCGAUAGCGCGAGGCCCGAAGGUCCCCCGCUUUCCCCCGUAGGGCGUAUGCGGUAUUAGCCUGGGGUUUCCCCAGGUUAUCCCCCACUACCGGGCAGAUUCCUAUGCAUUACUCACCCGUCCGCCGCUCGCCACCAGGGAGCAAGCUCCCCGUGCUGCCGCUCGACUUGCAUGUGUUAGGCCUGCCGCCAGCGUUCAAU
Molecule: ribosomal RNA, 519 nt
Filed under: uncultured bacterium
Lineage: Bacteria
Description: partial 16S ribosomal RNA
Source: RNAcentral